UAUUAUUUAAUUACGCAUAGUAUAUUUUUAGAACAAUAACAAUUGCGACGUGCAUGUUAUUGUGGGAUGUAUAUUGUUGGGUGGUUGUAGGGGGCAACUUUUUCCUAGUCUUGUCAGGUAUAAUUUUUUUGUGUAAAAAUUGCAUUAAUUUUAUCGGAGUACGUGCUUGUUCAUUUUGACAUCGGGGUUAAUGAUAUUGGGUGUGCGCUAAUUAUCUUAUUAUUAAGGCGAUCUCGGUAAUUAUAAGACAGCGGCACCAUUGGUUCCGGAAUCUCUAAAAUUUAGUCACUGUCUUUUCGAAUCAGGUGAGUGAAAGGCAGCGCUCCAGGUGAUAGAUUUGAAAGGGGUUAUUCAUUUAAAAGAAGGUAUAAAAGUACCAGGACGAGUUAAAAAUUUACCAGAUCUUUCUUCCUGCAAGUAGAAUAGCAGUAACGGAUUACUGUGGGACAACAUGAAGACUUUUGUAAUUUAUCUCAGCCUUUCCCUGUCUGCCUUAACUUUUAUUCGGGCAAUUAGAGUUUCCCCCGAAGCGCGGGAAAAUGAGGUCCUAUUAUCUCGACAUCGAAGACAAGGAUAUUACAAUAAUGGCUACGAUCGAUACCAACAACAACGUGAACAGCAACAGCAAGCAUAUGAUCAGCAGCAGCAAGCAUACGAUCAACAACAACAAGCAUAUGAAGAGGAGCGAAAACAAGAGCAGCAGUACGAGGAAGAACGACAACAACAAGAACAACAAUAUGAACAAGAACAGGAACAACAGAGAGAAGAGCAACAGCAGCGAUAUCAACAGGAAUACAGUGGUGGGUAUGGACGGUACAAGAGAGCCGCUGCAUAUGCUCUUGCACGGUUGAGAAGAAACGUCCAACAGACCCAAAAUAGCUACUUCCGUGACAAUCCAUCCGGCGCACCUGCUGAUUCCAACUAUGCUUCACAGCAAUACCAACAAAAUUACCCCACCGCCCAGCCUGCAUCCGCACCUGUCCUUCCAGUGGCAGUAUAUGAGGUUAAUUUCAGUGUUUGUAGAUACCUCCUGGAAGUUAUUAUUAGCCUGCUAAGUCAAAUAAAUGACGACAGUCAAACAGUAAUGCCUAUCCAGACAGCCGACCCACUACCCCUGCAACCCGGACUUGUGGUGGCCACAGCUACGCCUCUGAUAAAUCCCGACGGUUCAAAAUCGAUUGUCCAAGCAGACACUGCUCAAAUCCAAAUGUCCGAUGACUCAGAUGGUGUCCAAGCACCACUUGCUGAUGAUACCGACCUUAUGAUUGAUGUCAGUUAAACUUUUUCACAAUUGAUGUUAUCUGUUUCUAAGAAUAAUAUGCUUUUUAAUAUGCAUAACUUGCAAUCUUGAUUUCAUAUUUUAAGUACUAUUUUAUAUUUAACUACAUGUAUCUGUAUCCAAUAUAUUUCCUGAGCACGAUCCAUAUGCCAUGCAAAUGGGUUUGUAACCUCCUGAAAAUGUACAAUAAUUCUACAUAAAAAAAAUCCUUGCAAGGCCCCUGCAUAAAUCUAUCUGUACAUUAAAAAGUGUUACUAUUGUAUAGAGUAGAAGCUUAUAUGUAAUGAUAAAAAUCCACUAACUGUUAAACAUUGUUUUGUCCAAUUCUGAUAUUUGAUAUACUUUAAGUUAACUAAUAAUAAUCUACUUACCACAUAAAGUGGCGCUGACUAUAUUAAUUAUGCUUUGCAAUUCUUACCGACUUUAAAAUAAUACUUUUCUUUUUAACUGAAAA
Patella vulgata (common limpet) is the source of this 1733-nucleotide long non-coding RNA. RefSeq lists it as uncharacterized. Lineage: Eukaryota; Metazoa; Mollusca; Gastropoda; Patellidae. The transcript is spliced from 2 exons. The record is from RefSeq and is a predicted model, not a curated record.